GAUGAACGCUGGCGGCGUGCCUAAUACAUGCAAGUCGAGCGACCAGACGAGGAGCUUGUUCCUUUAACGUUAGCGGCGGACGGGUGAGUAACGCGUGGAUAACAAUCUUCUAUGACUUGGAUGAUUACGUGAGACAGGUGAUGCUACUAGAUCACAUGAUGUACCGGUUGGAUCAACGGUUCUUGACGGUCUUCCCGAUUCUAUUAGCUGAAUCCGCGUCGCAUUAGCUAGUUGGUAAGGUAACGGCUAACCAAGGCAACGAUGCGUAGCCGACCUGAGAGGGUGAUCGGCCACACUGGAACUGAGACACGGUCCAGACUCCUACGGGAGGCAGCAGUGGGGAAUCUUGCGCAAUGGGCGAAAGCCUGACGCAGCAACGCCGCGUGAGUGAAGAAGGUCUUCGGAUCGUAAAACUCUGUUAUUAGGGAAGAAAAAAUGUGUGUUUAACUAUGGACGUCUUGACGGUACCUAAUCAGAAAGCCACGGCUAACUACGUG
RNAcentral lists this ribosomal RNA (497 nucleotides) under uncultured bacterium. RNAcentral describes it as "partial 16S ribosomal RNA". It matches the Rfam family "Bacterial small subunit ribosomal RNA", at positions 28 to 507 of the family's 1533-position model. The record is from RNAcentral.